RNAcentral lists this transfer RNA (77 nucleotides) under Actinomycetota bacterium. RNAcentral describes it as "tRNA-Arg". It matches the Rfam family "tRNA". From Rfam's summary of the family: Transfer RNA (tRNA) molecules are approximately 80 nucleotides in length. Their secondary structure includes four short double-helical elements and three loops (D, anti-codon, and T loops). Further hydrogen bonds mediate the characteristic L-shaped molecular structure. tRNAs have two regions of fundamental functional importance: the anti-codon, which is responsible for specific mRNA codon recognition, and the 3' end, to which the tRNAs corresponding amino acid is attached (by aminoacyl-tRNA synthetases). tRNAs cope with the degeneracy of the genetic code in two manners: having more than one tRNA (with a specific anti-codon) for a particular amino acid; and 'wobble' base-pairing, i.e. permitting non-standard base-pairing at the 3rd anti-codon position. Lineage: Bacteria; Bacillati; Actinomycetota. The record is from RNAcentral.
GCCCCGGUAGCUCAGACGGAUGGAGCGACGGAUUCCUAAUCCGUAGGUCGCGGGUUCGAGUCCCGCCCGGGGCUCCA